This 269-nucleotide ribosomal RNA is filed under the name uncultured bacterium. Its description in RNAcentral is "partial 16S ribosomal RNA". It matches the Rfam family "Bacterial small subunit ribosomal RNA", at positions 524 to 776 of the family's 1533-position model. The record is from RNAcentral.
UACGGAGGGUGCGAGCGUUGUCCGGAAUCACUGGGCGUAAAGGGCGCGUAGGCGGCAUGCCAAGCGUGUGGUGAAAGCCCGGGGCUCAACCCCGGGUCGGCCGUGCGAACUGGCGUGCUCGAGCACUGUAGGGGCGGGUGGAAUUCCGGGUGUAGCGGUGGAAUGCGUAGAGAUCCGGAAGAACACCGGUGGCGAAGGCGGCCCGCUGGGCAGGAAGGCUCGCAAGAGCCGGCUGACGCUGAGGCGCGACAGCGUGGGGAGCAAACAGG